This 425-nucleotide ribosomal RNA is filed under the name uncultured bacterium. RNAcentral's name for it is "partial 16S ribosomal RNA". It matches the Rfam family "Bacterial small subunit ribosomal RNA", at positions 354 to 796 of the family's 1533-position model. The record is from RNAcentral.
GUGGGGAAUCUUGCGCAAUGGGCGAAAGCCUGACGCAGCCAUGCCGCGUGAAUGAUGAAGGUCUUAGGAUUGUAAAAUUCUUUCACCGGGGACGAUAAUGACGGUACCCGGAGAAGAAGCUCCGGCUAACUUCGUGCCAGCAGCCGCGGUAAUACGAAGGGGGCUAGCGUUGCUCGGAAUUACUGGGCGUAAAGGGCGCGUAGGCGGACAGCUUAGUCAGAGGUGAAAGCCCAGGGCUCAACCUUGGAAUUGCCUUUGAUACUGGCUGUCUUGAGUACGGGAGAGGUGAGUGGAACUCCGAGUGUAGAGGUGAAAUUCGUAGAUAUUCGGAAGAACACCAGUGGCGAAGGCGACUCACUGGCCCAAUACUGACGCUGAGGCGCGAAAGCGUGGGGAGCAAACAGGAUUAGAAACCCCGGUAGUCC